This is an unclassified non-coding RNA of Piliocolobus tephrosceles (Ugandan red Colobus), 95 nucleotides long. It matches the Rfam family "Y RNA". Rfam says of the family: Y RNAs are components of the Ro ribonucleoprotein particle (Ro RNP), in association with Ro60 and La proteins. The Y RNAs and Ro60 and La proteins are well conserved, but the function of the Ro RNP is not known. The record is from Ensembl. NCBI's taxonomy places the organism in Eukaryota, Metazoa, Chordata, Mammalia, Primates, Cercopithecidae.
GGCUGCUCUGAUGCGAGUGGAUUAUCAGAACUUAUGAACAGCAGUGUCACUAAACUUGGUAUACAACUCCCACUGCUAAAUUUGACUAACUUAAA